GAUGAACGCUGGCGGCGUGAUUAACACAUGCAAGUCGAACGGUAAGGUCCCUUCGGGGGACACACGAGUGGCGAACGGGUGAGUAACACGUGGGCAACCUGCCCCUCACAUCGGGAUAACCACCGAAACGGUGGCUAAUACCGGAUACUCCGGCGAGAUCGCAUGGUCUUGCCGGGAAAGCUCCGGCGGAGAGGGAUGGGCCCGCGCCCCAUUAGCUUGUUGGUGGGGUAAUGGCCUACCAAGGCGACGAUGGGUAGCCGAGCUGAGAGGCUGAUCGGCCACACUGGGGACUGAGACACGGACCAGACUCCUACGGGAGGCAGCA
RNAcentral lists this ribosomal RNA (325 nucleotides) under uncultured bacterium. RNAcentral describes it as "bacterial SSU rRNA". It matches the Rfam family "Bacterial small subunit ribosomal RNA", at positions 28 to 353 of the family's 1533-position model. The record is from RNAcentral.